AACUGAAUAGUCUCAGUGUUCUGAUUUUGUAAUAAUUAGGGCAGGCUAAAUAUUCACUAUAAGAAGACCAUGCUGUGUCCCAGACGUGUAUAGUUCUUGUACCUACCUAGGUCUGGUAUUAGAAAAACAGGUAUAAAU
Suncus etruscus (white-toothed pygmy shrew) is the source of this 138-nucleotide small nucleolar RNA. RefSeq annotates it as small nucleolar RNA SNORA72. NCBI's taxonomy places the organism in Eukaryota, Metazoa, Chordata, Mammalia, Eulipotyphla, Soricidae. The record is from RefSeq and is a predicted model, not a curated record. The transcript has a single exon.